GAUGAACGCUGGCGGCGUGCCUAAUACAUGCAAGUCGAGCGAACAGACGAGGAGCUUGCUCCUCUGACGUUAGCGGCGGACGGGUGAGUAACACGUGGAUAACCUACCUAUAAGACUGGGAUAACUUCGGGAAACCGGAGCUAAUACCGGAUAAUAUAUUGACCCGCAUGGUUCAAUAGUGAAAGACGGUUUUGCUGUCACUUAUAGAUGGAUCCGCGCCGCAUUAGCUAGUUGGUAAGGUAACGGCUUACCAAGGCGACGAUGCGUAGCCGACCUGAGAGGGUGAUCGGCCACACGGGAACUGAGACACGGUCCAGACUCCUACGGUAGGCAGCAGUAGGGAAUCUUCCGCAAGGGGCGAAAGCCUGACGGAGCAACGCCGCGUGAGUGAUGAAGGUCUUCGGAUCGGAAAACUCUGUUAUUAGGGAAGAACAAAUGUGUAAGUAACUAUGCACGUCUUGACGGUACCUAAUCAGAAAGCCACGGCUAACUACGUG
RNAcentral lists this ribosomal RNA (497 nucleotides) under uncultured bacterium. Its description in RNAcentral is "partial 16S ribosomal RNA". It matches the Rfam family "Bacterial small subunit ribosomal RNA", at positions 28 to 507 of the family's 1533-position model. The record is from RNAcentral.